AGCUUCCUCCAGGCAGUUGAGGGCCUUAAGAGAAAAGGGUGAUGUCUACCAGAGGAAGAGGGAAAUCUGCCUUCAACCUGAGUUCACAUUCAAGUUGCAAGAUCAGCUCUUCCCUGGGUCUCCAGCCUGCUCAGCAGAUUUUGAUUUUGCUAGCCCCUACAAUCAUAGAAAUCUUCAUGAGGAUGGAGAACAUAGGAGUUAAGCCACUUUCAGAGGUGGGAAUGGAAAUUUUCAGAUUUGAUGAUGUUCCAGGUAGAGAAAUAACACCAUUGAUUCAAGAAAGAAAAAUGGGCCUAAAAGACGGAGUUUCACUCUUGUUGCCCAGGCUGGAG
RNAcentral lists this long non-coding RNA (332 nucleotides) under Homo sapiens (human). RNAcentral's name for it is "HSALNT0403725". Lineage: Eukaryota; Metazoa; Chordata; Mammalia; Primates; Hominidae. The record is from RNAcentral.